This 497-nucleotide ribosomal RNA is filed under the name uncultured bacterium. Its description in RNAcentral is "partial 16S ribosomal RNA". It matches the Rfam family "Bacterial small subunit ribosomal RNA", at positions 28 to 507 of the family's 1533-position model. The record is from RNAcentral.
GAUGAACGCUGGCGGCGUGCCUAAUACAUGCAAGUCGAGCGAACGGACGAGAAGCUUGCUUCUCUGAUGUUAGCGGCGGACGGGUGAGUAACACGUGGAUAACCUACCUAUAAGACUGGGAUAACUUCGGGAAACCGGAGCUAAUACCGGAUAAUAUUUUGAACCGCAUGGUUCAAAAGUGAAAGACGGUCUUGCUGUCACUUAUAGAUGGAUCCGCGCUGCAUUAGCUAGUUGGUAAGGUAACGGCUUACCAAGGCAACGAUGCAUAGCCGACCUGAGAGGGUGAUCGGCCACACUGGAACUGAGACGCGGUCCAGACUCCUACGGGAGGCAGCAGUAGGGAAUCUUCCGCAAUGGGCGAAAGCCUGACGGAGUAACGCCGCGUGAGUGAUGAAGGUCUUCGGAUCGUAAAACUCUGUUAUUAGGGAAGAACAUAUGUGUAAGUAACUGUGCACAUCUUGACGGUACCUAAUCAGAAAGCCACGGCUAACUACGUG